Molecule: long non-coding RNA, 2490 nt
Organism: Rhea pennata
Lineage: Eukaryota; Metazoa; Chordata; Aves; Rheiformes; Rheidae
Exons: 6
Source: RefSeq, a predicted model, not a curated record
CGCGCGGAGGCGCCCGACGGCUCGCGCCUCGCCAACGGCCAGCGCUUAACGGCCAACGGCCAACGGCUCGCCGCGGGGGGAGGGCCGGGCAGGCGAGCUCCUCGCCCGCCGCGCUCUCUGCUCUGCCCGCAGCUUUCCUCCCCUGCGACAGUGCUAUAAACACAGCAAGCAAAAGGAAGACCUUAGAAAACAGCACAAGGAAGUUACAAAGGCUGUUGAGAAAGCAGAGAAGCCAGCUGGACCGAAUAAAACACAGCAUUGAGAGCUACAGAUGCAGAAUGUGUUAGCAAACAUAUAAGCCAUGACUGCAAGCAGAUCCUGGAGUGAGGAGGAAGAAACUGCCGUCUGCAACAUCAUACUCAUCCCGAUGAAGAUCUCGCGAAGCUGAUGACUUGCUGCAGCCAUUCUGCCUCCCCCAGCCUGAAGCUGUUGAUCUUAGAAGCCAAAGGGACAGAGAUAGACAACUCUGCAGGAAAACAAGAUCCAAAAGCAAAAAACAACCUUCAGCAGCUUAAAGUGAAGGGGUGAAAGGAGCUUCCAAAUUCGUAUUUGUUAUUAGAAAGAGUGUCUGUAUACUUGACAGACUGGCCACAGGAUGGGGUUUAUUGCCAUAGUCCUUUCCUGGAAGAUGAUUUAGCCACCAGCAACCUUUGCAUGUGUGAGGACAAUUCAAGUGAAGACUUUGGUGUUCAGGAGUGAUGAACCCCUGGCUACCUCAUGAGAUAACAUGAUGCCCUCACAGACUCCUGCUGUGGUGUGCCUGGCUGGUUUCAAGGUGGCUCUGGACUGUGCACUGUGCAGGCUGUUAUACGAAAUAAGCUGGCCUCAUCUGACAGGCAAAGCAUUUCUCUGUUGAAUUAGUAUCUUUAUAUGGCUCACAGGAUGAAACUGGAAGGCAAUCUGAGGGUGUUAUAACAUCAUCUUCUUUCUUAACAGAACCAUAGCUUCUGUGCCUCUCCAGCAGAAAUGACCCUCAAGGUCUGUUGUGCCAAGGCAUAAGUGGAUGCAUUUCUUAUGGGGAUGAAGCAACAAGGUUGUUUGCUUCUGUUGGUUUAAAAUAGACUUUUAUGGUUACUUUAAUGUAUCCUUUUUCUUUAUACGUUGAAGGCUUAAAAAUUUGCCCUGACACAUAGCAGUAAAACAGAAGCUACAGUGAAAGAGUGAGCUGUAAGAUAUCCAAGCAAAAGGAUACUUUAAAAUCCAUCAAUUUCUGUAGCAUCUUUCAUAUGCACAAAGUUACAGUGCCCGACAGGCUAUCUCAGUGUGUCCAAUUGCCUGUUUUAACAAACACAUCUUUAGGCUUGUGGAAGUAAAGUAAGGUCAUUGCUUGAAUGAGUAAGCUAACACUUGGAAAGAGAUGCAGUGUGAUAGGUCUACUGCUCUCCAAACAGUGUGUACAGAAAAAAUAAUAGUAAAACUAAAAGAUAACAUAUAAGCAAUAAAAAAUAGCAAGUAUCUCUUCCUGGGCACAUCAAUUCUGGCAUCAUCAUCUUAGCCACCAGUUAGAUAGAUGGUCAAGGGAAAACAGAGAAAAUGUCUCAUUCUAGCACUGAAGAUUACAUACUAUCAAAAAGAUAAAAUUACCAAAGACCCUUCCAGAUCACCUAAGAGGGGGGGUUGUAUGUAUACAGCACAUUGAAAAUCUAGCCCAAUUUAUCAUCUUUGCAAGAAAGCAAAUACUUGGUAGGUUUUGUAUUUUAAACAGCACUCAAAGUGCAUGAAAAUAAAUAAAUAAGCUAACCUUAAAGUCUAAGCCCAGGAAUGAAAAUCUGAGCAGACUUCAGCCUUCAUCAUCAGCUUAGCUCUCUGGGUGUGACAGGCAAUUUUCCUUUUUAAUUUUCUCCAGCAGUAAGGAAGCUAAUGGUACAUCUGAAAAGAUACGACCUUAUCCUUGUAAGUUACCUGAAGCUUGGCAGAAAAUGAGAUGGUCUUACUUUCUAUGAAAGGCCAGUUUGAAGGGAAGAAUUCCCUUCUUGCUUGCAUCAAUGGAUUGAGGAAUGGAAUGAAAGAUCUGAUUUUUGUACACAGUUUUUAUUCUGCUCCAGCUUUGAUCCCUGAAAUGUUUUAUAAUGGUAGCAUUUUAUACAUUUUAAAAUUAUGAAUGCUUCAUAAAAAUAGAUAUGGCUGAUCAUUUUCAUUUGGCCAGAAUAGAUGUGAUGUAGGGCUGUUACUCAGAAGCAUACCUAGGUGAAGACUUUUCUUCCUCCUUGGAGUCCUCUUGAAGUCAGUGCAACUGUCUGUAUCAGUAAAGUUGUGGAUUUGCUGUACUGUAACAUGGCAAGGAUUUUUAUGAAAAAAAUAAAUUAGAGCCGGAGCUAUUUCAAUGAGUGAUCUGGCAAAGCAUUGUUGGUAUGAUGAAUCUGUCAUAAUUGUGGAUAAACAGAACAGUGAAUUCUUUUGUGUUGGUGUCUGAGGGGUUGCUGAUCCAAAUCCACAUGCAAUUAAGUGGGAAACAAUAUAUCUAUUAUACACACACACACACACACACAC